GUGAGUCAGGAAGAGGAAUAGAGACUCUAAGAGGAGUAGGAAUGGGAAUACGAAGGAAAGCCAAUCUAAGCUCCAACUUCAGGAGUUGGAGUUUUGGUAUGAUGAUUUUUCUGAUGCCUCUCAUUCCUAUAGUUCUUAGGUCUUCAUUCCUCUUAUUUCGGCU
RNAcentral lists this microRNA precursor (163 nucleotides) under Oryza punctata. RNAcentral's name for it is "MIR2118 microRNA precursor family". It matches the Rfam family "MIR2118 microRNA precursor family". Lineage: Eukaryota; Viridiplantae; Streptophyta; Magnoliopsida; Poales; Poaceae. The record is from Rfam by way of RNAcentral.